ACAACCGUGAUGCCCGGAGUAAUGGCGAAUGAAAUGGGCGAAGCUCAGCACCCAACUACCCGCCGAUUCGGUCGUGUAGAAUGUAGUGUUUGGGAGAGCCGCGUCGCGUGACGUUUGUGAGUUUAAGUUCAUCUUGACUGGGGCCAUUAUCCAUAGAGGGUGAUAGGCCCGUUAAACCACAGACUUUUCGUGCUGGUGAAUCCCUAGAGUCGAGUUGCUUGGGAGUGCAGCUCAAAGUGCGUGGUAGACUCCACGUAAGGCUAAAUAUGACCCUGAGACCGAUAGCGAACAAGUACCGUGAGGGAAAGUUGAAAAGAACUUUGAAGAGAGAGUUCAAUAGUACGUGAAACUGUGUAGUGGUAAACGGAGGGGUUUCUCGAAGUAUGCGCCGGAGACUCAGGCUAUAGUUGGCUUAGUUUUAUCCUUGGCUGGUGAUCUGUUAAAAAGACUCCUCGAGGUGGCCGAUGUCAACUAUUGCUGCAUUUUUCCGGCGCUCUACGCAAUGAACAGUUAGCCGCGUUCUGAAAGUUUGAGUAAAGUUUGUUGAAUUUAGCUCUCCGCUCCUCGUGGGUGUGUUGGCGAAUUUAAUGAGUCUCUUUCUCGGAGCUGCGCGGUUGGCUGGUAUUAGAGUGGUCUCGUUAUAACGAGCGAGCGUUCUUGCUAUCGCGGACCGCAUUUCUAUUGCGAGUAGGUCGGUGGCCCCUCCGACCCGUCUUGAAACACGGACCAAGGAGUCUAACAUGUGUGCGAGUCAUUGAGUGAACUAAACUCAAAGGCGUAGUGAAAGCAAAGUGCCUUUAUUGGUACGAGGGGUGAUUUCAACAACUAGUUUGGGUGAAUGCAGCCCCGGCGCUUCAAAUCGACUUUGUUUUCGUUUGGAGCAGCAAGAGCAGACGCGUUGGGACCCGAAAGAUGGUGAACUAUGCCUGGCCAGGUUGAAGUCAGGGGAAACCCUGAUGGAGGACCGUAGCGAUUCUGACGUGCAAAUCGAUCGUCGGAGCUGGGUAUAGGGGCGAAAGACUAUCGAACCUCUAG
This 1035-nucleotide ribosomal RNA is filed under the name Acanthochondria spirigera. RNAcentral describes it as "eukaryotic LSU rRNA". It matches the Rfam family "Eukaryotic large subunit ribosomal RNA", at positions 65 to 947 of the family's 3401-position model. The record is from RNAcentral. Lineage: Eukaryota; Metazoa; Arthropoda; Copepoda; Poecilostomatoida; Chondracanthidae.